RNAcentral lists this non-coding RNA (141 nucleotides) under uncultured Paracoccus sp. RNAcentral describes it as "Ruegeria cis2 sRNA". It matches the Rfam family "Ruegeria cis2 sRNA". Rfam says of the family: Cis-encoded. Targets ABC transporter. The record is from RNAcentral. Lineage: Bacteria; Pseudomonadati; Pseudomonadota; Alphaproteobacteria; Rhodobacterales; Paracoccaceae.
CGGCGUGUAGUUGAUGAAGACAUAUCCGCGUUCCUGGUCGAUGGCGUGAAAAAGCGGGUUCCACCAGAAGUAGGGCAGCAUGAAAUUCGGCAGCACGUUGGCCACGAACAUCUUGCCCGAGGCGAACAUGUUGACGCGCUG